Molecule: long non-coding RNA, 534 nt
Organism: Zonotrichia leucophrys gambelii
Lineage: Eukaryota; Metazoa; Chordata; Aves; Passeriformes; Passerellidae
Exons: 2
Source: RefSeq, a predicted model, not a curated record
GUGCUAUAAAAGAGUGGAUUUGUUGGUUGAGGGCUUCUGGAGUCAGUUGGCUGCUGUGAGAAGAAGGAAGAGUCAGUGCUUGGAGGAGCUGCCUAUGAGAAACACCAAGGAGUUCUUCCCUUCCACAAAGCAAUUGUUUACUGAAGUCUCCAGCUGCAGAACCAGGCUGGGACACUCCUUUGCUCCACAGACUUCAUGCAAAGCAGAUCAAGCCUUGGUUUAUGGACAAAGGCCUGGCACAGGAAGGGCGGAGGUUGGUCACACAUGCCAAAGGAGCUCUGAAAAGCAGCCCAAAACUGCCCAGGGCUUUAUAUUUGCCUGGCUUAGCUAAUUUGGAUGGGCCCAGCUUACCACACUCUCCAGGAUGUUUAUGCCUGUCCUCCCUCUCAUUUACUCUUUCAGUCAUCUUUUUGUAUUUGUAAAUUAGAUCAAGUAAUUAAUUCUGUCUUUAUUUCCUUACUGCUCAGGAAAAUAUUGUGACAAAUGCUGCAGCCUCAAGUAAAGCAUCCUGUUAAAUAACCAUCUUCUGUUCAA